Molecule: small nuclear RNA, 162 nt
Organism: Mastomys coucha (southern multimammate mouse)
Lineage: Eukaryota; Metazoa; Chordata; Mammalia; Rodentia; Muridae
Product: U1 spliceosomal RNA
Exons: 1
Source: RefSeq, a predicted model, not a curated record
AUACUACCUGGCAGGGGAGAUACCUCCAUCACGAAGGUGGAUUUCCCAGGGCGAGGCUUAUCCAUUGCACUCCGGGUGUGCUGACCCUGCGAUUUCCCCAAAUGCGGGAAACUCAGCUGCAUAAUUUGUGGUAGUGGGGGACUGCGUUUGCGCUCUCUCCUG